GUGCGGGUAGCUCAGCCGGUAGAGCAGCGGUCUCCAAAACCGCAGGUCGCAGGUUCGACCCCUGCCCCGCAUG
Molecule: transfer RNA, 73 nt
Filed under: Caudoviricetes sp.
Lineage: Duplodnaviria; Heunggongvirae; Uroviricota; Caudoviricetes
Description: tRNA-Trp
Rfam family: tRNA
About the family: Transfer RNA (tRNA) molecules are approximately 80 nucleotides in length. Their secondary structure includes four short double-helical elements and three loops (D, anti-codon, and T loops).
Source: RNAcentral